UACGUAGGUGGCAAGCGUUGUCCGGAAUUAUUGGGCGUAAAGCGCACGCAGGCGGUUUCUUAAGUCUGAUGUGAAAGCCCCCGGCUCAACCGGGGAGGGUCAUUGGAAACUGGGGAACUUGAGUGCAGAAGAGGAAAGUGGAAUUCCACUUGUAGCGGUGAAAUGCGUAGAUAUGUGGAGGUACACCAGUGGCGAAGGCGACUCUCUGGUCUGUAACUGACGCUGAGGUGCGAAAGCGUGGGGAGCGAACAGG
RNAcentral lists this unclassified non-coding RNA (253 nucleotides) under uncultured Bacillaceae bacterium. RNAcentral describes it as "contains 16S-23S intergenic spacer region". It matches the Rfam family "Bacterial small subunit ribosomal RNA", at positions 524 to 776 of the family's 1533-position model. The record is from RNAcentral. Lineage: Bacteria; Bacillati; Bacillota; Bacilli; Caryophanales; Bacillaceae.